RNAcentral lists this ribosomal RNA (409 nucleotides) under uncultured bacterium. RNAcentral describes it as "bacterial SSU rRNA". It matches the Rfam family "Bacterial small subunit ribosomal RNA", at positions 355 to 776 of the family's 1533-position model. The record is from RNAcentral.
UGGGGAAUAUUGGACAAUGGGCGCAAGCCUGAUCCAGCCAUGCCGCGUGAGUGACGAAGGCCUUAGGGUUGUAAAGCUCUUUUGGCGGGGACGAUAAUGACGGUACCCGCAGAAUAAGCCCCGGCUAACUUCGUGCCAGCAGCCGCGGUAAUACGAAGGGGGCUAGCGUUGUUCGGAAUCACUGGGCGUAAAGCGCACGUAGGCGGAUUUGUAAGUCAGGGGUGAAAUCCCGGGGCUCAACCUCGGAACUGCCUUUGAUACUGAUAGUCUUGAGAUCGGGAGAGGUGAGUGGAAUUCCUAGUGUAGAGGUGAAAUUCGUAGAUAUUAGGAAGAACACCAGUGGCGAAGGCGGCUCACUGGCCCGAUACUGACGCUGGAGGUGACGAAAGCGGUAGGGGAGACAAACGAG